Molecule: unclassified non-coding RNA, 315 nt
Filed under: plant metagenome
Description: partial contains 5.8S ribosomal RNA, internal transcribed spacer 2, and large subunit ribosomal RNA
Rfam family: 5.8S ribosomal RNA (bases 1-106)
Source: RNAcentral
CGAAAUGCGAUAAUUAAUGUUAAUUGCAGAAUUCAGUGAAUCAUCGAGUCUUUGAACGCACAUUGCGCCCCCUGGUAUUCCGGGGGGCAUGCCUGUCCGAGCGUCAUUGCUGCCCUCAAGCACGGCUUGUGUGUUGGGCUUCCGUCCCUGGCAACGGGGACGGGCCCAAAAGGCAGUGGCGGCACCAUGUCUGGUCCUCGAGCGUAUGGGGCUUUGUCACCCGCUCCCGUAGGUCCAGCUGGCAGCUAGCCUCGCAACCAAUCUUUUUAACCAGGUUGACCUCGGAUCAGGUAGGGAUACCCGCUGAACUUAAGC